CCUACGGGAGGCAGCAGUAAGGAAUAUUGCGCAAUGGGCGACAGCCUGACGCAGCGACGCCGCGUGGGGGAUGAAGGUCUUCGGAUUGUAAACCCCUUUCGGCAGGGAAGAUGGAACGGGUAACCGUUCGGACGGUACCUGCAGAAGCAGCCACGGCUAACUUCGUGCCAGCAGCCGCGGUAAUACGAAGGUGGCAAGCGUUGUUCGGAUUUACUGGGCGUACAGGGAGCGUAGGCGGUUGGGUAAGCCCUCCGUGAAAUCUCCGGGCCUAACCCGGAAAGUGCGGAGGGGACUGCUCGGCUAGAGGAUGGGAGAGGAGCGCGGAAUUCCCGGUGUAGCGGUGAAAUGCGUAGAGAUCGGGAGGAAGGCCGGUGGCGAAGGCGGCGCUCUGGAACAUUUCUGACGCUGAGGCUCGAAAGCGUGGGGAGCAAACAGGAUUAGAUACCCUGGUAGUCCACGCCUUAAACGAUGAAUACUAAGUGUCGGCGGGUUACCGCCGGUGCCGCAGCUAACGCAUUAAGUAUUCCGCCUGGGAAGUACGGCCGCAAGGUUGAAACUC
RNAcentral lists this ribosomal RNA (559 nucleotides) under uncultured bacterium. Its description in RNAcentral is "bacterial SSU rRNA". It matches the Rfam family "Bacterial small subunit ribosomal RNA", at positions 338 to 902 of the family's 1533-position model. The record is from RNAcentral.